UUGUGCUGAUCAUCACCAGAGCGAUCCACAUCCAGAUUUUAUGGAUAUUGAUCAUACCACUGAAGAAGAACGACCCCCAUAUGUUAUAGUUGUUCACGGCCCUCCCAAGGUCGGUAAAACUCUCUUAAUAAAGUGUCUGGUGGAUUUCUAUACCAAGGGAAGUCAUUCUGACAUGGCAGGCCCGAUUAGGAUUGUAGCAGG
Molecule: long non-coding RNA, 201 nt
Organism: Papaver somniferum (opium poppy)
Lineage: Eukaryota; Viridiplantae; Streptophyta; Magnoliopsida; Ranunculales; Papaveraceae
Exons: 2
Source: RefSeq, a predicted model, not a curated record